AACGAACGCUGGCGGCAGGCCUAACACAUGCAAGUCGAGCGAAGCCUUCGGGCUUAGCGGCGGACGGGUGAGUAACGCGUGGGAACGUGCCCUUUGGUACGGAAUAGCCCCGGGAAACUGGGAGUAAUACCGUAUGUGGUCGAGAGACGAAAGAUUUAUCGCCAAAGGAUCGGCCCGCGUUGGAUUAGGUAGGUGGUGGGGUAAUGGCCUACCAAGCCGACGAUCCAUAGCUGGUUUGAGAGGAUGACCAGCCACACUGGGACUGAGACACGGCCCAGACUCCUACGGGAGGCAGCAGUGGGGAAUCUUAGACAAUGGGGGAAACCCUGAUCUAGCCAUGCCGCGUGAUCGAUGAAGGCCUUAGGGUUGUAAAGAUCUUUCAGUGGGGAAGAUAAUGACUGUACCCACAGAAGAAGCCCCGGCUAACUCCGUGCCAGCCGCCGCCGUAA
RNAcentral lists this ribosomal RNA (449 nucleotides) under uncultured bacterium. RNAcentral's name for it is "partial 16S ribosomal RNA". It matches the Rfam family "Bacterial small subunit ribosomal RNA", at positions 29 to 523 of the family's 1533-position model. The record is from RNAcentral.